AGUAAGUAGAUCAUAUGCAUUUAAGAUUAAGGUCAUUGAUUUAUUUUGGAAAAAAUGGAUGAAGAACUACUUUCCUACUCUAAUUGUACGCCAAAAGUGGCAUGUGAGUGUAAGAAAUGUUCGGAAGGGUGACAUUGUACUUGUUAAUGAUCAUAAUGUAUUAAGAGGAGAAUGGAAGUUAGCGGAAGUUGUAGAAGGUAUACCAGGAAGGGAUGGAAAGAUCAGAGAUGUGUUGUUGAGGUAUAAAAUUAAUGAACCAGGAAAACAGUACAGGGGCCAACAUGACAAGCAAAUGGUAAGAUCAGUACAUAGACUGGUGGUGUUGCUCCCAGUCGAUCAACAAUAGAAGUAUAGAAGCCUUUGAUUUGUGGUGGGGGGAGUGUAAUAUGAUUCUCAUCAUAUUAGAAUUAUAAUGUCAUUGUUGGCACCUUUGAAUGUGGAGCGGGCAGUGUGUGUCGCUGUCAUUGGUUGGAAAGAGGUGUAGACACGGGUUGUAUUCCAGUUACUGUAUAAUUGUUAUUGGCAUAUAUGACAAGAAUUGUAAUUAUUAUUGAGAUACAUAUAUUGUUUUCUUACUUAUUAACAAGUUUGGUAUUGGUUAGUAAUGUGUAUUUGUUUGUCAAGAGGAAGUUUUCUUUUAGGGUCUGUGUAUGUAACACGGAUAUAUAUUAUACCGCACUCAGGUUGUAGGGGUAAGGUAGGCAGAGGUACAGUUGGUGCCUGUCAGGGGUGAGUGGCGGUUGUUUGACUGAGCAUAGUUGGGGUAAUGCUGUAAUCAGACAUGUGGUGAAGUCUGCCUUGGCUGAUGAUGGGCGGUCAUUUUGUGAGUACUAUUUUAUAUGUAUCGUGUGUCAUUGCAAUAGUGAACAAUAGAAUGGGAUAUGUGUUCAUCUUAUGUUUAUUCUUCUGUUUACUGGGUGAAGUUACAAGAUAUUGAAGGGAGUUACAUGAUAUUGAGGUAUGCUGUGUUUAUGUUGACAUUAAAUUUGCAGGCUGAAUCAAUCAAUAAAUCAAGAUACAGCAAGUCA
Molecule: long non-coding RNA, 1028 nt
Organism: Portunus trituberculatus (swimming crab)
Lineage: Eukaryota; Metazoa; Arthropoda; Malacostraca; Decapoda; Portunidae
Exons: 2
Source: RefSeq, a predicted model, not a curated record